AGAAGUCUGACGGAGCACGCCGCGUGAGUGAUGAAGGCUUUCGGGUCGUAAAACUUGUUGUUAGGGAAGAACAAGUGCUAGUUGAAUAAGCUGGCACCUUGAGGUACCUAACCAGAAAGCCACGGCUAACUACGUGCCAGCAGCCGCGGUAAUACGUAGGGGCAAGCGUUAUCGGAAUUACUGGGCGGGAGGGCGCGUAGGUGGUUCCUUAAUCGGAUGAAUCUCCCCGGUCUCCCGGGGGAUCUGCUUCCAAAUUGGAGAGCUAGAGUAUGGAGAGGGUGGUGAAUUUCCUGUGSGCUUUGUGUGCGUUUAU
This 313-nucleotide ribosomal RNA is filed under the name Bacillus cereus. RNAcentral's name for it is "bacterial SSU rRNA". It matches the Rfam family "Bacterial small subunit ribosomal RNA", at positions 377 to 695 of the family's 1533-position model. Lineage: Bacteria; Bacillati; Bacillota; Bacilli; Caryophanales; Bacillaceae. The record is from RNAcentral.